This 260-nucleotide non-coding RNA is filed under the name Paenibacillus sp. RNAcentral's name for it is "T-box sequence". It matches the Rfam family "T-box leader". From Rfam's summary of the family: Uncharged tRNA acts as the effector for transcription antitermination of genes in the T-box leader family. T-boxes are found upstream of many aminoacyl-tRNA synthetase genes and some amino acid biosynthetic genes usually in Gram-positive bacteria. The anticodon of a specific tRNA base pairs to a specifier sequence within the T-box motif, and the NCCA acceptor tail of the tRNA base pairs to a conserved bulge in the T-box antiterminator hairpin. The record is from RNAcentral. Lineage: Bacteria; Bacillati; Bacillota; Bacilli; Caryophanales; Paenibacillaceae.
AAUAACGCGAUGAACAAGAGUAGUAAGGGCUCAUGUCUCUGGUACAGAAAGCUGCGGGUUGAUGCGACGCAGACCGAGAACGCCCCGAACUCGCUUGGAAGCGGUCAUCUUGAUCGGCUGGUAACAGCUGUUAGGGAUGAACGGAUGACCUCCGUGAUCGGGUGAUGUAGCGAGCAGCUUGCUGGCUACAUCUGAGGUGGGCUCCUUAACGGAGUCAACAAGAGUGGUACCGCGCUGGGUGAAGACCCGUCGUCUCUUAU